ACGAACGCUGGCGGCGUGCUUAACACAUGCAAGUCGAACGGAAAGGCCCUGCUUUUGUGGGGUGCUCGAGUGGCGAACGGGUGAGUAACACGUGAGUAACCUGCCCUUGACUUUGGGAUAACUUCAGGAAACUGGGGCUAAUACCGGAUAGGAGCUCCUGCUGCCUGGUGGGGGUUGGAAAGUUUCGGCGGUCGGGGAUGGACUCGCGGCUUAUCAGCUUGUUGGUGGGGUAGUGGCUUACCAAGGCUUUGACGGGUAGCCGGCCUGAGAGGGUGACCGGCCACAUUGGGACUGAGAUACGGCCCAGACUCCUACGGGAGGCAGCAGUGGGGAAUAUUGCACAAUGGGCGGAAGCCUGAUGCAGCAACGCCGCGUGCGGGAUGACGGCCUUCGGGUUGUAAACCGCUUUCGCCUGUGACGAAGCGUGAGUGACGGUAAUGGGUAAAGAAGCACCGGCUAACUACGUG
Molecule: ribosomal RNA, 467 nt
Filed under: uncultured bacterium
Lineage: Bacteria
Description: partial 16S ribosomal RNA
Rfam family: Bacterial small subunit ribosomal RNA
Source: RNAcentral